This 69-nucleotide microRNA precursor is filed under the name Glycine max (soybean). RNAcentral's name for it is "MIR4359 microRNA precursor family". It matches the Rfam family "MIR4359 microRNA precursor family". Lineage: Eukaryota; Viridiplantae; Streptophyta; Magnoliopsida; Fabales; Fabaceae. The record is from Rfam by way of RNAcentral.
AUGUUAACGCGUGAUAUGUUAACAUCGGUUUUCCAAAAAAUCGAUGUUAAUGUGUAUGCAUUAACCGAU